This 376-nucleotide ribosomal RNA is filed under the name uncultured bacterium. RNAcentral's name for it is "bacterial SSU rRNA". It matches the Rfam family "Bacterial small subunit ribosomal RNA", at positions 521 to 896 of the family's 1533-position model. The record is from RNAcentral.
UAAGACGAACCGUGCGAACGUUGUUCGGAAUCACUGGGCUUAAAGGGCGCGUAGGCGGGUCACCAAGUCCGGGGUGAAAUCUUUCGGCUUAACCGGAAAACUGCCUUGGAUACUGGUGACCUCGAGGGAGGUAGGGGUCUGUGGAACUUCUGGUGGAGCGGUGAAAUGCGUUGAUAUCAGAAGGAACGCCGGUGGCGAAAGCGACGGACUGGACCUCCACUGACGCUGAGGCGCGAAAGCUAGGGGAGCAAACGGGAUUAGAUACCCCGGUAGUCCUAGCCCUAAACGAUGGGUACUAGGUUGUGGACUAGACAUGGGUUCACAGCCGAAGCAAAAGUGUUAAGUACCCCGCCUGGGGAGUAUGGUCGCAAGGCUG